UCCCUGUGGAGGCCAUGACGAGGAGGGAGUAGUUCACCCUCGGGGCUAAGGGUAUGUAUGUGUAGCUAUGUUUCUCUCUCUCUCGUGUUCUUGAGAUGUCAUGAUCUUGAUGUAUCAUGAGCUUUGUUAAUAUAGUUGGAUCAUAUGGUGUUCUUCCCUUGCCAUCUUGUUGUGCUGAAUUGAAUCUUUUCCUUUGAGAUCUCGUUAUGUUGGAUUGAAUAUUAAAUUUGAGAACACUUAAUGUAUGUAUUCAUGUGGAUACCCAUAGUGACAAUGGGGUAUUCUAUUGAUUUACUUGAUAUAUGUUAUGGCAUCAACUUCCGGAUUCCAGUGACCUUGGGGAUCUAUGCACAGGGGUUGAUUGCAAGUUUUCAUAUUACGUUUUGUGAUAGAAAUCUUGGGGUACUCCUUAAAGUUCUUUGUGUUGGAUUGAAUAUGAUAAUUCUAAAAUUAUUUGAUGCAUGUUGUAUAAUUUGUUGACAGAUACAUGAGAUGACAUUGGAGUAUCUAGGUAACAUUAGGGUUGAUUGAUAUGUAUCAUGGCUAUUAUUCUAGUACAAACCCUAGGGUUGUCUAUUACACUUAUAGGAAUAUCUCAAAAGAUUGAUAGGAAACAAUAACUUUGAGGUGGUUGUACUACCUACACCAAUUUCAUCUUAUGUUCUCUGCUACUUAUGAACUUUGGAGUGAUUGUUUGUUGCAUGUUGAGGGAUGAUCAUAUGAUUCUAUUAUGUUAGCAUUGUUGGGGAUUGCACUUGUGAAAAUAUGAACCCUAGGACUUAUUUAGAAGCAUUUCUAUAAUGUUUUGCUCAUUGUUUUCCACUUGCUACAUUGCUGUUUUUAUAUUUCCAGAUUACAAAAACCUAUAUCUACUAUCCAUAUUGCACUUGUAUCCCCAUAUCUUUGCCGAACUAGUGUAUCUAUACAAUUUACCAUUGUAUUGGGUGUGUUGGGUACCGUCGGUGUCAAAACCGGCGGAUCUUGUUGGGGGUCCCGAACCGUGGACCUUGGAUCAAUGGGUUGCACGAGACAAAGGGGACAGUGUUUUACCUAGGUUUGGGCCCUCUUGAGGAGGUAAAACCCUACAUCAUGCUUGAUUAUCUUGAUGGAGUAUGAGGAUUACAGAGUUGAUCUACCUCGAGAUCGAAUGAGCUAAACCCUAGAUGAAUCCACUUGUCUAUGCAGAUGAAACCCUCUGGAUUAUGUAGACACCAGGGGUCCCUAGGGUUACAUACAACUGACCUUUUAGUUGGGGGCAGGAUGUCGACCUAGACUACUAAACUUGGAUGAUACGCCCAUCUUCGGAGCUUCCCUUCUUGAAUAAGAAGUCGUCAUGUAGUCUGCUUUUUGUUAAUACAACCCAUAUGGCCGAUCUGUAAAAGAUGGGCUGAUCAUCCAAGGACCCGUGUUUCCAAGACUCCCUCAGUAUCCCGUGAAGUUGCAUCCAACGUCGAUGUACAUGGUCUUCGACAACUUCUUGUACCCAGGGUGAUCGGCUUGUGAGGCGAGUUCCUCUAUUUCCCCUUAUUUGUGGAUUGACAACCCUAGUCAUUGACCAAAUCUAGAUUACUAAAGUGUCACGGGGCCUAUGGCCUCCAAACUUUCCGCUCGAGAAUUCAUAGCAGCACCCGAUUUUUGUGUGUACUAAUGAAAACAAGAAAUCUAGCAGUCCCACUCGGAACCGCUUCUCAAAACCGUGAGGGAAAAAUACCCUUUAUAAACAGAGCCAAUCUGUCCUUGGGUGACCAUGAACCCUCAGGCACCACCAAGAGAAAACCCUAGAGCUCCAACGCCUAGAGCUAUGGUGGGUUCCUCCUCGCGUCCCUUUGGCCCCCCUCCCGAGAGAUUGGGCAAGCCGUUCCGUUACCUUGCUCUAGUUGCGCAUCCUUCCCACAUCGGAUAUCGCGCCUACCCGUGCUAGACUGACCUCUCGAAGAAAAUUUCCCUACCCUGCAAAAGGGCGAACGGAUCCACUUUGUUUCUUUCCUGCUGCAGGGUAUGGGUUUUCCGGUCAACCCCUUCCUGAGGGGCUUACUAGAGUUCUACGAGCUCCAUCUUCACAACCUUACCCCCGGCUCAAUCCUUCACAUCUCGAGCUUCGUAGCCCUGUGCAAGAUGUUCUUGGGCUGUGAGCCCGACUUCGACUUAUGGAGAAAGUACUUCUGCCUCGUUCCCCGAACUAGGGGAACGUCAAUUCGGGAGGUGGGUGGAGCUGAAGUGUGGCGUAUAGCCGGGACCGGAUACCCGGUCGGGACUCCAAAGAAGAAAACCAAUCAAUGGUCUUCGAAAUGGUAUUAUAUCGAAGACAUUCCCAUAUUCGACCUAGUUCGGAGAGGUCUUCCCAAAUACUCGGAGGUCUCCUUGAAAAAGCGGUUUAGCUGGUGGCCGGUCAGUCCCUCCCAAGAGGAGAGCCCCAAAUUAUAGUGCCUCGCAGCCAAGGUAAGGUUACUUGCUCAGAGCGGGCUAACCAUCAUCGAGCCGAUGGCUGCAGCAAUCACCCGGUGUGUCUAGCCACUCCAACAGCGCACACAGCCCUUGUGGCGCUACAACGGGACAAGCGACACCACCCGUUCUACGCGACAGGGAUCGAAUAAUCAAGAGGCUUUGGCGGCCAUUUUGGCCGACCUUUUUAAGUGGGGGAAAAGAGAAUUUCACCCACCUUACCGCCAGGGACGGCUACUCGGCAUACAAUCCCAUUGAAUGGGUAAGUGUGAUUAUUAUUCCAUAGUACGGACACUUAUGCUUGGUCUUAGCGACCAAUAACCCCUUGCCUUUCUUAACACACUUGGAGGCGUUGGAUUGAGACGGUCAAUUGUCCCACCCCUCAACCCAAAAACUUCUCCCGUGAUGACGACCCCAAAUUCCAUGAGGAUCCGGAGCUUUCAAUUGAUUUUGAGGACGGAGUAUUUUAUGAGGAAAAUGUCGACGAGGUCAAGGUGGCCUUCCACGCUAAAUAUUUGUGAAAAUUUAGGGAAACUCAGUGGACAUAUAUAUUCCAUAUACAGGAGUUUCAACACAUGGUCAUGUUCAAAAUAUUAGGUAAAACCCUUCAAAACACUUCCUUCCUAUUUGAAGCUUUUGGAAUAUUUCUAUAAAAAAUAUUCUCAAUAAAUCCCAGUAAAAUUCUAGCAUGUCACCCAUGAUAUAUGUGAUGAUCUUGCCAAGUUUCAUCUCAAUCCAAGUUGAUUUGGUUUAGCUAAAUAUUCCAAAACCAUAUUUGUCCAGAUCCAAAUUUGAGCAACUCUACACUGCCACGGCUGUCUAAUUGUUCUCAAAUUUGAUGGACAACUUCUGAUACUUUAAUAAUGCAUGCACACCAAGUGGUGCAUCAAGGAGAAUAGAUGAACUUGUCCCAAACCCCUCCAAACCUUCUUUGUUGAUUUCUAGCCUUGGGAAACUUUACAUUAUAAAGUUUCUCCAAUUGCUCCCAUACUUUUUGGGCAGUCUCUAAUGCUCAAAUAAUAGUACCACACCAAGUUGUGGAUUUUUGGGAGUUGAUUUGCAAGGUUUCAUAUGCAGAAAGCCAUUUCUGCCCAUUUCAUGGGUUUUUCAAGUCUACAUUGGAAACUUUCUCCACCAAAUCCCAAAGUUGGUGUCCAAGCCUAUUUUCAUCUAUUAUGUGAUCCUGUUAAGUUUCAUAGUAAACGGGGUCCAUUUGCUAGCCCUAGCAUCCAUCAAACACCUUCUGUCCAAUUACCAAAACUGCUGCUUUGGCCCCUUCCACUAAUCUCCUUGAGCUAAAAACUUUAGCACAACUCUCUCUAGUCCCCUUUUACCUACAGUAACCUUUCCAUGGCCACUGGUCAAUUAUUGGAGGGUGACUCCAUGUAUGUACCUCUCAUUUGUACGUUGGCAACACUAGUUUUAGCCCUCUUGCCAUACUUCUGUUCUUGCCAAUGCCCCCACAACUUUCCAGAGAAUCUAUAGUAUGCUAAUGCAUCAUUCCAAACCAAUAUAUGGCAUGCUCAUGUGGGAAAUAUGAGCAACCUUUCUAAGACUAGUUUUUGGGCAGAAAUGUAGCUUUGGACUACAAAUGUUAGCUACACACCUCCCCUUGAUCUAAAACUUUGCAGUAGUGUAAUCCUCCCAUAGAAAAUACUGCUAGACAUGGUUUCAUCCCAAGACUACCCCAUUGAAAACCACUUUUGCUAGCCCCAAGUUUGCUGCUGCAAACUUAAUCAGAGCUGAAACAAAUUCAAACUAGCCCCAUUUGGGUCCAAUCUUCACCAGUGCUCUCUAGCACACAUGCCUUGCAUGCUUGAGACCUUGGUCUGGCCAAGGGGUGGCUUUGGACACGUAGAGAGGUGGUGAGCACCUCCCUGUGUGCAGAAAUGGUGCUCUGCACCUUGUCUUCACCCUGUAGGCCAUGUUUAGCAGUGGCGGUUUGUCCCAAAGCGCCAGGGCACUUCCCUUGACCGUCCAAGUCCCUUGCCGACACUAGGUUGCCUCCAAACUCCCCCUGGCACGCGUGCUCUCCCGUGCCCAGGGCAUACGAGGCACCCGAGCCUCCCAUGUCACCCCCUAUUGCUUAUCUCUCUCCCCCGAGCCCCUGCUGCCCCAUUCCAUUUCUCUCCCUCCCACUAGUCUCCUAAGCUCCCCUCACCUUCUCUCGAGCUAUCUCUUCUUCCCAUGACCGUUGCAGCGUCGCCUCGGCCACGCUCGUGUCCAACCUCCCCCAACCCUCUUCUCUCUCUCUUGCGCCUCCUCGAGCACCCUAGACCCUCCACGGACUCCUCCCUCUCCUCUCUCCGUCCUCCCGGUGGCCGGAGUGCCCCAACCACGGUCGACCCUUGCAGUCUCGGCCACAGCCGUGGCCCCCUUUCUCCGACGCCUCCCCAACGGAGCUAGCGUCCUAGAGAAGUGCGGCCUGUCGCCCCACGACCGUCGGUGGCCGGGCGGUCGCCGGAAGUGGUCGGAGCCCGGAGGCAGGCACCGACCACACUGGAUAGAACUCCCCUGCCUCUCCCUGGUGCUGGCGAGAGGUAGGGGUGAACCUGACGGGUGGGGCCUCCUGUAAGCCCGCCAACGGUCGAGCCUGCCCUGUUAAGUGGAGGCAGCUUCCGCAGGGCGCGCCUCCCCGCACAGGAAGCGUACUUUGGGGAGUACGCCUUCGUCGUGGCUAGCCUCCUGCGUGCCAGGCUGAGCCGCUGGGCCGGGCCAGUUCUUCCCCAACACUGUGGGCGCGUUAUAACCAAUAUGGAUAACCCCCUUUUCUUUUUCUAUUUCUUUAGAGACUAUUAAUUUCAAAAAAAAUCAUUUGAGCUUCAAAUCUAAUGAUUCAAAUUUAUGUAAGUUUCCAAAAUCAUGGUCUAUGCAGAUUUGUGCAUUGCACGUUUUUCAAAGGAUAUUUUCUUUAGUAGUAUUAUUCAAAUGCAAAUCUGAGUAUUUGAAACUCCACCUUUGUAAAUUCUUGCAGCAAUCAAAUCAGCUCCAAAUGGAGUGAUUCCAAUUUUGAGAGACAUAUUAAAUAAUUCUCUAAUUUCCUAGCCUAGGUGAACAUGUUUCUGUUGCAUCAAAUAAAUAGCCCUUUUGCUGUUUAUUCCAUAUUAUAAAAUCCAUACGAAAUUCAUACCAACUCCAAUUCUAGUGAAACUACUUCCUAAAUGUUUCUAAAUUCAUGCUCUAUUAAAUUUUUAGCAGAAUGUUUUCUCUAGACUUCUUCCAGGAUCACCUAUUCCUCCUUUACUCCAUUCAAAAAUCUCUGGUGAUCCAAAUCUCCUAGAACAAGCUUCAGGUAUUUUUCUUAUGACCAGAGAGGCCCAAGAAAAAAUAGAAUUCCUAUUUUUAGAGAACUUUUGUUUCUGCUUGCUGUGUGGCUUACUAUGGUUAUUUCCAACGAUAGUUGAUGGAAUAGAUGGAGUACUCAGAGUUGGACCCGAAGACCUCGAAGACCCCAGAGACCUAUUAGUGCAAGGCAAGAAGCCCUCUGACCAUGUCUGAGAAAAAUGUUUUAUGCAUGCCAUGUCUAAUACUUUAUUUCGAUGCAUGUAGCCAGGAUUAACCGGUACACCCGUGUAUGGUGAUACCGAUGGCUUCACUGGAGGACUUGCAAUUAAGCAUGACCUUACCAUCUAUGAGGGUCACGCUGAUAAAAUGUUGACAAGUAGAUAGUAGUGUUACCCAUAGGAUGAGCAUAUGCAUGAUGAUGGUAAUACAAAGGUGAUUACAAAGACUUUUCGAAAACCCCGUCGGGUGCCACUAAUGCCCAAGGGUGAUGGUGUUGAACUGGAUGACCACUUGAGAAAGAAGUAGUGUGCUGGAAAUGUUUUGUGUGAGUGGUUUCGGAAAUGGGGUUAUAUUUAAGAUUUGUCGAAUGUCCCAACCUUACAUGUGAACCACGAUACCCAUUUAUGGGAUAGGGCAGUGUUGAUUACUCACUCUCGUGACGGGCUCGUGCCAGGUAGGACGACUAUGCCAUUUUUACCUGUUCCGGGCACACCAUUGGUCCUUGCAUGGAUGAUACGGUCUAGAGUUGGUUCUCGUAAGAUGUACAUCAUGUGGGCUGGGUACCAAUCGAGUGGACUCUUUGUCUAGUGUCGUCAGGGGAAAUGCAUUGAUCGUGUACUUAUCUCGGGUAUGUUAUAUACCGCGAGUCAUGGAUGACACGGAAGUUUCCCGGAUCUCGUGGGUAUAGCAUACAACCUCUAUAGCGUGUAAAACUGUUCGAAUAGCCGUGUCCGCGGUCAAGGACAUUUGGGUGGUGCUGCUUAGACUACGUCCAGUCAUUUCCGCAUAAACCAAUUGUGCGUGUGCAGAAAGGUGUUACAUGAGAAAGUGGUCACUUGGUCAAGUUUGGUGACUUGACAUGGAGUAUGAACCUGAGAUGUUGAGCUCUCAGCAAAUAUGUUGAUACAUGUAACCUCUUCUUACGGUUACUAUCUACCUAUUGAUGCAUGACCAUCUAAAUACUUGACCAUGUUUACGCAACAAUAAAACCUUCUUUCCGUAAAGGCUGCAUUAUACUUCAUAAUGCACUCAAUUACAUAAUCCACAUCAUGGGUUGUUUGCGAGUACAUUCAAAGUACUCAUUGGCUUGCCACUGGUUAUUUAAUUGACCAGGUAAUAGAGAACAGGAGACGGUGAAGAGUACCACGGUGACGUUCCUGUGAGCUAGGAUGCUUCCCAGUGAGAAUGCUUGUAGGUUAAGGCUGAUGGCAUGAGUUCACGCUUUCGACCAAUAAUUCAGCUAUUGGUCAAGUUUGUUGUAUUAGCCUCCAAGGCCCUACCUAUGUAAGACUUGACCCCAAAGUCAUUUUUUGCAUCAGACGGUAUGUAUGGAUGUAAGAAUCUUGUUAUUCAGUUUCUGUGUGUUCGGUGAGCAUUGAUCUCUGGGAUCACUCAGCAUGUUCAUUCGGCGAUCUCGACUCGUAAGUCGGGGUCCCCAUAGAGUUGGUAUCAGACCUAUACUGACUGUAGGAAGCCCUUAGUUAGCACAGACGUUAGUUAGGACAACUGUUUUCCACACCUUUCAAAAGGACUUGUAAAACCUGUAUCUUUCUCACCUCUCCUAAAUUUUUCGAAGGAAACGAAGGUUUUUGCCUUAACAGUUCCACCGUUGUUCUCUUAACUUUCCUCACCUGCUUUUUCAAAACUUGCAAACGGCCGCUAGCACUCUAAUUCCCUCUGGUCACGAGAUUACUUAAAAUCCCCAUGUGUAACUUGGAAGGAGGCAACCUUUCGAAGCAAAUACCUCACGUCUUGGAAGACGAGGAUGACAACGCUACAACCGGACGACACAAACAGAAGCUACCUCCAUGAGGAAUGAGGACAUCGAGGCCCGAAGACGGUGACACUCUCAACACUGUUCCGGAGUGAUGCAACCUUCACCUACGAUGAUCAGGACAUAAUAUGUGCAAGACCAAGAUCUGCAUCGCUAAUAGAGCGACCCUGUCAAUAUCAAGGUUGUGUCGACCACCACCACUGGAUGAGAACCUCGCCAUUCGUUCGCCUCACCUUAGUGAGUAGGAAAACGGUUCUCUUCAUCCCCCUCUCUAGGUGUCGAUAUGAUGAUCAACAUGACUGAUAGGUCGGAACUCUAUCAUGCCUUGCUCAUGUCGUUGCAUAAAAAUUGUCCACUUGGAACUCUUGACGCCUUGGAAGACAAGAAGAUAAUGACAAGAUUGCAAAGAUAACAGAAGACCCUGUCAACACAUCCAUGAGGAACCACCUUCAUCGGCAGCUCCCCAAAUGCGAAGGCGUCAUGGACUCUUUUCAGCCCAACCCGAGUCGUUUCGGCAAACAACAACAAGGGGACACAGCGACACCAUGAGAAGGUCCAGAAGACUAAGCGAACUCCUCCCCGAAGAACAAAGCAAGCACGACUGUCGAGUCUGAGAACCCCUAGGGUAGGAUGAGUCGUGAAUCCCCUAUACGAAGUCGAGUCCGUGAAAUGGUUCGGAUGGAACCAUGUUAUGUGUUGCUUGAUUCUGUUGUUUGUGCUUUGAUAUAAGUCGCGUUUUUGCCCAGGCAACCAGUACGCGACUGUAUCGCGUGACUCAUCUUGAUGUUGAGUUAACUUUUGGCAUUUGUUUGAUUGCACUUGCACUAUAGCACCCCUUAGGCACUCCCCUCGGUGUUUCUGUUCUCUCUCUCUCCUUUCUGGACAACUAGAGACCAACAAGACAAGAUGCACCAAGGAUCCACUUUGACGAGCAGCUGAUACUGGAUACACUGACUAUGACGUGCUCAACCAGGCGCGACCUGUAGAAGUUAUGCUUUCCCUCGAGAUUGAAAACCCCUCCCUAGACCAACCUAAACCUCACAAGUUUCCCCAACUCAAGAUUUCGGGUCACAUGUUUAAAGCAUGGAUUUUCCAAAGCACCCAUUGAGCUCCGAUAAACCCUGUUUAGCACUAGGUUCUUUAUGGAAUGAGUUAUCACAGUGAACAAGUAACCUUCAUUCUUAAGCUAGCACCAGAACCCGGAUGCCAUAGGAAUCACCGUACUUGGUUAUAUGAUUGGUGGACAUGGUUUGUUGUGAUUAUAAUAGGUGUCUCGGGAUAUAGCUAGACUAUCUUGGUGGAUCGUAAUACCCUAUGAUGGUAGGUGAACUUGGUGGAACAUGUUUAUAUAGUAGCAUAACCUACAUGAUCCUGGAGUAAGUUUGGAUUCAGUAGGACAAUUAUGAUCGCGAGCUAAAAUCUUGGUGAUAUAAUAAAUUGGCUUUAUCGAUUAGCACUCAUGGUUUGAUGAUAUUACCAUAAUGACAUGGAGUAACGAGUAAGAGUUCUUAUUGGACUUGCGUUUCGUGUUUAAAUAGGUAACUUACUGGAGUAUCAAUGAUGUAUGAGGCCACAUGGUUCAGAGUAAAUUGGAUUUAGCCCGAUGAUCUCGAUCAUGAUACCAUGUUUCUCGGUGGAUAAUGAGUAGAAGUAAUUGGAAUUUUUGAAUUGAAUUACGAACCUAUAUAAGCUCAGCCUUGGAGAUUAGUUGGCCAUGAUAUUGGGAGUCGGUGGACAUAUUGUGACAUAAUCCUUGCAAUAAUAAGUGGAUUAUGAGGACUCUAAGUAAUCGGGUAGAACCCCAUCGAUAUCAGAUUAUAAGAGUGAUGGGUCCAAUGGUGAUCAAUAGGAUUGGUUGACCACUUGAUUGGAUUCGUAGGAAGGGAAUGAGACACUGGAUUGGUAUACUACGUGUUUCCUUAAUAUAGGAAUGCAGUACCCUUUCAAUUGGAUGAUCUAGGUGAACACUUGGAUUUGUCGUGUCUUAAUUCAAGCUUAGAAGCUUGUAUGCUCUCCCGAGGAUUUUUACAUAGGGAUGCAUGUGUAACAUAGUGAUAGUAUACCUGUGAAAUUUAGUUUAAGGUCUUCCCUCAGACCCCGGAGUUGACUAGCAUGAGUGAUGUGGAGAUAACUUAUGUGAGUUUGGUGUUUUCGAUGAUAUAGGGUGAUAUUGUUCGGAGAUAGAGGUUAGGCUAUUGGCAUCUAAGGAAUGUGCUUAAGGAUAAGAUGAUAGACGUUCACUCGCAUAUUAAGCUCCUUGAAGUCCCCAAGCUUCAUCGAGCCAUAAGAUGGUCGGGUUAUGACCAUAGGAAACAACUCUAAGUCGUUAGACUAUGGCCAACUCUACCCCGACCACCACCAAUCAUGUCUAUGAUGAACAUGGGCAUGGAGAACUAGUUCAUGUUGGACCACAAACCCCUCGGCCAUAGACCACCCAUAGCGAGUUCCUGCUCUCCUCACCUGUCUCAUGAGCACUGUGUUUACGUGAUGCUUGGGAAAGUAUGUUGUUAUCCUCAUGGAUGACAUACUGAUUCACCCAAUAAGAGGAGGAGCACUUUAGUCCUGUUUGGACAAGCCCGAGGAACGUCGGCCGCUAUGCCCCACGAGACUAAGGUGUUAUCUUGAGAAGGUGGGCUUCUCGAAGCAACCUCAAGGCAGCGGAAGUCUAUCCUUCCCAAGACAAGGCGAAGAACCGCCAUGGUUGGGAAACCACGAAGAAGAAGGACAGUAGAAGUCAGCUCGUGUGCUGACUACAUCAACUAUGUCAAGAAGCCUCGAUGAUUCAAGUCGAUAAAGCUUUUGGACAGCGAGAGAAAUCAGAGAGCCUCUUCUUGGUCCAAAUCAAGGGUGAGAGUUCUAAUUGGAUCAUGGUGAAAACCUGCUAAAACUGAUUCACCGCCUCCCGAGCCUCAGACCUUAGGUACUGGGUGACUGGCCUAUAAUCUUGGGUAGCUAGCUCAUCCAGAACACCCUUAUGAACCUUCCCAGAUGGUUGAACCCGUUCUGAACAUUGAGUCUCCGAGCUUAGACUCAUGGGCGAGACCCAACCGAGACCCUCUCACUAGAAGCCUUCGAAGACCCACUACAACACCUCCAAGGAUGAAGACCACCUGCGACCAUAGCUCGCCUCCCUUAAGGGAGUUAGGGACUUCCCCGUCAACAGGGAGCUACGCGAAGACCUUGACCCUUAUGUUCUAACACGAGACAUCUAGAUGUCACUAACUGACAUGAGUAGCCCAGGACCAGCACCCACACACGCUACCUUGUCACAUAUUCCGACCUCGGAGUACACGCGCAAGCCGGAACCUUACAGGAACUUAGUUCACCAAGCCCUUGACCCUCAGACAAGCCUAAGUUAUUUCCAGAGCCAUCUCACAGUCAGGCAAGGAUGUGCGGAGCAUUCAAAGUUGUAUAAUCAAGCACUGCAAGACCCACAACAACAACAUGGGCACGUGAAGACUACCUCCAACUUAAAAUUCAGUUUCUCUCCAACGCCAAGCCAGAAAUCUCGAGGACAAGAUUUUAUUAAGGGGUUAAGGUCUGUCACACCCUGUGUUUGACUGUCCUGACUAAAUUAACUUAUCUAAAAAAAUAGGACCAAUUAAAAUUUUUAUGACUCAUUGUGAUGCUUGAUGUGAUUGUUGCUUGCUUGCAUGUUUGCGUGUGUUUAAAUCCCAAUGUUGUUGAUACUCUCCACACUCACUUCCUUGAUCCUAACCCUUGUCUAAUGAUCCUNNNNNNNNNNNNNNNNNNNNNNNNNNNNNNNNNNNNNNNNNNNNNNNNNNNNNNNNNNNNNNNNNNNNNNNNNNNNNNNNNNNNNNNNNNNNNNNNNNNNCCUAAUCGAUUAGCCGUGUCCACGGUCAUGGACAACUUGAGCCGAAGGCAUUGAAAUUUUCCUGAACUCUCGACACAACUUAAUAAUGAUGUGGGAAUUAUCAACAACUCGGGUACGAGAAUUGUUUGGCGGAACCAUCUCGUUAACAACAAACAAUGUAGUAAUAUUUUGCUUUCAGCCCUCUCUUGUUGUAGGAGAAAAUUGGCUUUAUGCAAAACUUAUAGCCCCACCUGCCAAAUAUGCAUGUAGAGAUAGUUGGUUAUUAUUUUGUCCCCUCUCUUUGAUGACUUGCCGGCAUAUUCCAUAUGCUGACCUACACGGCUGCAAUGUAUCAUGUUGCAGAGUACUUUUCCGACCAGGAGUGAGGCUACGAUCUACGCUCAACGACAUGCCCUGGAGUCGGAUGGACUCGUCUACCUGAUGCUUCCGCUAGUCUUCGUUAGAUAUCUCAUGAGAUGGCCUUCAACCACUUUAUUGUUAAUCAUUAUUGUAAUAAAGUACUCGAUAUGAGAUUUCGAUUAAUAAAGCUGUGUGAUUGAACUCUUGACAUAUACAUUGAUGUACUGAGUGUGUACCAGCAUGAUCUUGGGAUGGUACGGAAACACGAGAGGCUUGACUCGUAUUGAGUCGGGUCGCUACANNNNNNNNNNNNNNNNNNNNNNNNNNNNNNNNNNNNNNNNNNNNNNNNNNNNNNNNNNNNNNNNNNNNNNNNNNNNNNNNNNNNNNNNNNNNNNNNNNNNAUGCCAUGUGUAUAGGACCAGAAACUAUUUUUACCAAACAUUAUUUUGACCAAACAACAUUUCCUUGAUUUAAGCUUUCAAAAACCCCUGAGUUGGGAUUUGUAAUACAAGUCCUCAACUUAGGGAAUUUAUUUUGCACCAAAUAUUUUAUUUAAAUCCCAUUAUAAAAAUGGCUUCCAAAACCACAAUAUUAAUAUUUUAAAAUUUAUUUUACUAUUUUAUUUAAAUACCUUUCUCUGAGGCUAGAGAAGGGAAGUUAAUUUUAUUGCUUUCAAAAUAUUUGAGAAAAUUUAGGGAAACCUAGUGGACAUAUAUAUUCCAUAUAUAAGAGUUUCAACACAUGGUCAUGUUCAAAAUAUUAGGAAAAACCCUUCAAAACCCUUCCUGUCUAUUUCAAGCUUUUGGAAUAUUUCUAUAAGAAAUAUUCUCAAUAAAUCCCAGUAAAAUUCUAGCAUGUCAUCCAUGAUAUAUGUGAUGAUCUUGCAAGUUACAAAUCAAUCCAAGUUGAUUUNACUAAUCUCCUUGAGCUUAAAACUUUACCACAACUCUCUCUAGUCCCCUUUUACCUCCAGUAACCUUUCCAUGGCCAUUGGUCAAUUGUUGAAGGGUGACUCGAUGUAUCUACCUCUCAUUUUUACCUUGGAAACACUAGUUUUACGCCUCUUGCCAUACUUAUUCUCAUGCCAAUGCUCCCACAACUUUCCAGAGAAUCUAUAAUAUGGUAAUGCAUCAUUACAAACAAAUGGAUGACAUGCUCAUGUGGGAAAUAUGAGCAGCCCUUCUAAGACUAGUUCUUGGGCAUAAAUGUAGCUUUGAACUACAAGUGCUAGCCACACACCUUUCCCUGAUCUGAAACUAUGCAGUAGUGUUGUCCUCCCAUAGCAAAUACUGCUAGACAUAGUUUCAUCCCAAGACUACCCCAUUGAAAACCACUUAUGCUAGCCCCAAGUUUGCUUCUGCAAACUUAAUCAGAGCUAAAACCAAUUAAAACCAGCCCCAUUUGGGUCCAAACUUCACCAAUGCUCUCUAGCACGCAUGCCUUGCAUCCUUGACACCUUGGUCUGGCCAAGGGGUGGCUUUGGACACGUAGAGGGGGGUGACCACCUCCCUAGCAUGCAGAAAUGGUGCUCUAGACCUUGUCUUCACCCUGCAGGCCAUUACUACCGCUAGAGCUUGCGUUGGUUUUUCCCCUGAAGAGUAAAGGGUGAUGCAGCACAGUAGCAGUAAGUAUUUCCCUCAGUUUGAGAACCCAGGUAUCAAUCCAGUAGGAGUAUGUAACGACCGAGAUGCGGUCCUUUCCAAUCUGGGGAUCGAGGCCCCGAAUAGGAAAGAAGCGCAUCUAAGUGUUUCGCAAACAGGUAACACAACACAAAUAAUAAUAAAAGUAGACAAUCCGGGAUUCAAUUGUCUUCUCAAAAAUAUCUCAGAGUACAUCACACAUACAACCAAGGUAGUUCCUCUACGGACUACAAAACAUAGAAAUGCUAUGCUACCCUGCCUGCAGGGCCAUGAUCACGACCAUGCCUCAAUCUUCUGGAUAGUUCACGUAAAGGCGGUUUGUCUCCUCGUCGUACUGCCACGCCAGCUGAGUGCCGUCGGGAUCAUCUGUCUCUGGGUACCUGAACCUGCUGGGAUUUUGGAGGAAUCUGUGAGACACAGGGACUCAGCAAUCUAAGACCUUGGUGCCAGAACUAGUCAAGUUAUUAGUUAGGGUAAGAUGAAGUAUUUAAGGUUGCAGCAUCCUAAGCUUGAUUUGGUGGCUAACAUACGUUGCAUUUAUGAAGGUGGUCUAUGCUAGCGGUCGCGAAUACUUGAUCACUAAGUGAUCCUGAACACCUACCUAUGACAUUCAUAACCCCACCGUGUUCCCGAUUGAAGAGAGAUCUUCGAGGGGACAAUCACGGUUACGCACACAGUUGGCAAUUUUAUUAGCUUUUGUUUAAGUUAUCUAAUACCGGAUGUUAACAAAAUAUUCCAAGUUGCCACAUAACCGUGAGCACGGCUUUCCGAAAGAUUAAACCCUGCAGGGGUGCUCCAACUGGUCCAUCACAAACGUACACGGGCCGCAAAGUAAUCCUCUAUCACGAAUCUCGUGAUCUCGUCGGAUUCCUUAGAGGAAAACCUCAACUCUGAGGGAAACCAAAGCUUCACCGGGAUUCCUAUACGCAAGAUAUACCGCUAAGGUAAGGCAAGGCUAGCAGGACCUCCCGACGUGUCGACGACCCCGAUAAGAGCCGCGUAUCUCAGUCUCAGGACACGUCAGAUGGAACUAUCUACAGGUACCAAACCUCAAGUUUCCUUGUGGUGGCCCUGCAGGCAGACCAGUUUGGACCAACACUCAUGAGGAGCACUAGCCCAGGUUGUUGAUUAAAGAUCCUCGGGGUGAUCAUUCCCUAUGCAGUUUAUUAAGUGAUUAGCAAAUUAACACCAAUGUUGGGUCCUGCCGGACAAGCCUUAAUACUACGCGAUUUAUCGAGGGGGUCCCUAUAACAACCCGAACGUGUUAGGAGCGAUCAAUAUGGAAUCAAACACCGGUAACCGGUAACUAAGGCGGCAAUAACGGAACAAAGCACCCGGCAAAAGGCUAGGCCUUCCGUCAUUUAACAAGUAUAUAGGUGCAUUAAUUAAAUAACAGAAUUUAAGAUAAUGAUAUGAAGCGCAUGUUAUCACAUGAGUCAAAGCACCUGCAUCUAGCAAUGCUAACAUUAGUAGCUGAGCAAGGCCUACUUAGCCAAUCAAGUUUUGCUAGGAAGGGAUCAGUGUUUGGGUUCAUGGCAUAUCAAGAGGCAAUUUAAUUCAGUGGUAGGCAGCGAGCAAUAUUACAUGGAAACGCAAACUAGCAUAACAAGUCUAGAGAUGGAAUCAAGGUCAUAUCAUCUUGCCUGUGAUAUCCUCAACUUGGAAUGGUUCUUGUUCGUCCUGCACGUACUCUCCCGAAUCCACGUACUUGUUCUCCGAUCCCGGUGCUACCCAACAUAAGAAUAACAUCCAAUGAACAAUAGCACCUCAAGAUGCAACAAGCACAUGAUGCAUGAGAUGAAAAUGAGCACGCAUCACUAUUUUCUAUCACUAGCUCAAGCAAAAGAAGCUACUUCAAGUUUCUGGACAGAAAUGUACACUAAACUAUUUUGACAUGCAUGAUAAUGACAUGAACAGAUGCGUCUCGUGAAAACGAUGCAAAACCAUAUAAGGAACAUUACAGUCGGAGCUACGGAUCAACAACGGGAAUCAACGAAACAAGAUAUGAAGCCCUACGUGUCAAAAUCUUCACCACACACUCAAUUGGCACAAAUCUGGUAUUCCCAGGUUGCCAAGACAUAUAACAACCCAACAUGAAUUAAUUGGAGCAAGGAAGAACACCACAACAUCAGCUAAGCACCCAUAAUCAUCAAAAUGACAAGACUACAUAAUCUGCCAUAAUCUGCAUCUUAGCACUUUGUGAGCUACAUGCAACAUAGCUACAACACUCCAAAUAUGACAAACAAUAUAUGUGGCUGUAGCCAACCAAGAAUACUAAAAGAACAAGCAAGAAUCACACCAAAAGGAAUUAAACACAGAAAGAUACAAGGCUACAAACUUUCCCAAAACCAUCAGAUCUCAGGGAUUUAGUGAAAAUUCCUACACCUGACUUUCAGUCUUUGCUCUGAAGCUUUUUGGCAGAAACCAAAACAUAACCAACUGGACUCCAAAUGGGAUAAAAUUUAAAAGGGAGCUUCACAAACAUAUCAGGUCCAAAUUCCUAGCACUGAACUAAGGCUAGAUCACAACACAAUGACCAGCACCACCUCAUCUGCAGGAGAAGAAAAUGUUUCAAGAUUCCCAGACUUUGUGAAAUUCCAGAUUUCACUAAGCUGGAAUUUUCAGCCACAUGUCUACUUUGGAUGGGCACCACUUGCACACAUGGAUUCCAAAUCAUGAAUUGAAAACCACAUGUGGUAGAGGGGGUUACCCUCUACUACCACAACCAAGAAUCAAAUACAAGAGCACAUCAACAUGCAUGGAACCAAGCUCUAAACUUAGAAGAAAAUGCAAAUGUGACUUUCCAGAAAAAAUGCUCCAAUGGCAAAUCUAAGUUAUCCGAUGGAUUCCUUGGGAAAUUAUACCAGAAAAUCAUAUAUAGUAUGUGGGCAAUUACUUGGAACAAGUGACCACAAAUUAAGGAAGAGGAAACUACUCCAAAUCAUGGCUAGUAAAUAGUGCAUCAUUUCAUGUAGUUUCUCUAUAUCAACUACUACAUGGUUGAGCUCAUGUGCACAAUGACAAAGUGACAUGGGGGUUUGAACCCCAUGUUUGUGUCAUGCACAUCAACUUCAUAACCACUACUACCAAGCUAUCCACACAAACAACAUACCAUGCCCUCUCAGAUAUGGUCAUGUGAAGGUGCAAAGCUUGCUUGCAAAGGUGGAAUGCUUCUCACACACACAUCUACUCCACAUCAUCCACAAGCACAUCAUGCUCUAGAUCAACACACAUACCUACACCUGCUAAACAUACCUUGCAUCACAGGGCAAACAUACACACAUCAUAGCCCUCAUAAGAUGCACUUUCACAUGAAACUCUAGUGCAUCACACACAACAAAAGGCUAUGCUUGCAAUCCUACUAGCAUAAAACAACCUACACAAGCUCUACUAAAUACAUCUUCUUCACUCACAAUGCAUCAACAUGGAAACAUAGCUAGCAGCACACAAACUUCCAAGCAGAUUAUGAGAGGGGGGUAAUUUCCAACCUACAUGUGCAGAAAUGCCAGAGGUCUACAAAGAAUAUUAGGCUGCAUAAAAAUCAAACAGCAAGGGCAAGAAAAAUAAAAGGAGCAAGGAAAGGGAAAAAAAUGGACAGGCCUGGGAUUCGUUCCCACGUGCCCCUCGUACUGUCCUGUGGUGCAAACCACCCUGCUACCAUGUGCUAGCUCAACAGGGAAAGAUAGCUAAGCAGGUAAAACUGCCCUGCUGAUGCAAACGCUACAGCUGCCGAAAAGAAACUAAAAAGGGGGGUUGCGCCAGGGGGACUCGAACCCUGCACCUAUUGGAUAUACUCACAGAGACACACCACUACACUAUGAGACGGCUUCUGAUAGAGUAGCGUUGUAUCGCGAGGUAUACUGUCUCUGCUGCGUGCCUGCUCUGCACACAGGUGCGCCGGCAACAGGGAGGCCGCCGGCGCACUACUCUGCUGCUGAUGCGGCGUUGCGACGAAGGAUCUACUUCUGCUACUGCUACGCGGGGAAGAUCUCUGGGCCUGCUGCAACACCGAGAUACACCACUACACUACACCACGAACUGCUGCUUCUACGGAAGAGGCGCACGGCGACAGUAAGGUCGCCGGCUCCUCGUCGUGCUACUGCUGCCGCUGCGCCACCGGUGGCAGGAGCAGAACGAGGAGAAGGAAACCCUAGCGAGCUCCUGCUACUGCUCUAGUUCCAUCUAUGCGCCACACACCUCCACCAAACUACUGCACCUCAACACACACUGCUACCAAUCUACAACGACAGAGAACCACAGCAAACACCACGGCGGUUCUAGACGGAGCCGAGGAGGAGAAGGAAGGGGAGGUUGCAGCCUCACAUUGAAAGUAAGGGGGAAGCCGUUCGGAGAAGAGGGCCCGGCCGGAGGCGACGAGGACGUCCUGAUCUGCAGAACCGAAGCAGGGGAAGGAGCACCGCGGGCGUGCCGUUGAAGAGGUCGACCUCGUCGGUGUGGUCGCUUCCCAACCCUACCGAUGAUAGGAAUGGAGCGCGGGGUCAAGGCCCGAGCUCCUGGACAUGGCGGAUGGGCGGGUCGUCAACGAUAGCGGGGGUACACGCGGCGAUGACCUCUCUCUCUCUCUGCUAUCCCUACAGAUGCUUACCAGGGAAGGAAGAAGAAGAGAGAUGGGGAUGGGGGAGAGGAGAGGCGUCGGCGGCAGGAGGGAUGGAGAAGGAACCCUAGGCCGAGGGGGGGGCACGGACGACCACAAUAUAUGGGGGACCUCGACGUUUGUGCAACGGCGUCGUCUCUCUGUCUCUCAGCGAGCUGACGGAAAGGGGGAAGAAAGGAGACGGCGUCAGGAAUGGAGAAGGGGGUCGCGCGCCUGGGCUCUCGCUGGAAUAGAGAGGAACAUGGGCCACACCGAAGGGGGAAGGCCCAUGCUACGCCAGGACGAGAGAAAUAAUUCCCUGGGGGGGUUUCUAUUUAGAAAACAACAGAGAAAGGGAAAAAAUAAUACAAGGGAAAACUACUGGGAUAAAUUCAAAAGGAAAUACCCCCUGGUCAUAUAAAAAUAUGACCUAUUUAAAUAAAAUAAGAUCAAGAUUUCUAGGAGCAAAUAAUAUUUCACAAAACAGAAUUAAUGACUUUAAGAAGAAAUAGAGAGGGAGGGAGGAUGGUUUGUAACCCUAGCAACUUACUAUCACAUGCACUCAUAGUAGCCCUCAACACACACACACAAGAACACAUGCAACACUAGGUAUCUAACCACAAGAUCACCACACCACAUGAAAUGCUAAGAUCAUAUAGCAACAACACAAGUCAAGGGCAUGCAAUGAUAUGCUAUGCAUGCAUGCAUGAGAGGGAAGUAGUAAGGAACACACAUGAAAUCAUGGUACCAAAUAUAACAUCAUAAUCUCUGACAAGGUGGACCCACUUGCAAAAGGUUCCAAAUAGGGAAGGUUUACAUAUGGGGCACUACAGAGUAUCAAUACAAGUCACCAAUGUACCUGCACAAAAACAAACAAACUUGCAUCCAACGCUAUAAAGGGGUUGUCAAUCCCUUCACGAUUAAUUGCAAGGUGAGAUCUGAAGGUGGAAAGUGCAACAAAGUAAAAGUGUAGAGCUGAAAAUAUGGUGUGAAGUAGACCCGGGGGCCAUAGUGUUCACUAGAGGCUUCUCUCAUGAUAUCAAGUAUUACGGUGGGUGAACGAAUUACUGUCGAGCAAUUGAUAGAAUCAUGCAAAGUCAUGAUGAUAUCUAAGGCAAUGAUCAUACAUAUAGGCAUCACAUCCGAGACAAGUAGACCGAUACUGUCAGCAUCUACUAUUAUUACUCCACACAUCGGGAGCUAUCCAGCAUGCAUCUAGUGUAUUAAGUUCAUAACAAAGGGAGUAACGCCUUAAGCAAGAUGACAUGAUGUAGAGGGAUAAAUUCAUGCAAUAGAUAUAAACACCAACUUUUUACCCUUGAUGGCAACAAUUUCGUGAGCACAAAGUUUCUGUCUUUUUCAGCAAGAUCAAACAACCAUCACAAAAACUAGUCAUAAAGGCUUUACUUGGCACAAACACAAAAAGAAACACAAAAAACACAAUCAUAAAAAAAUUAUGAUGGUGUGGACACAAGAAAACAGAAAGCAAAAAUCAAAGAUAAAUUCAUUGGGUUGCCUCCCAACAAGCGAUAUUGUUUAACGCCCUUAGUUAGGCAUAAGGCGAUAGAAUCAAGUAUCAUCGUCUUUGGUGCUCAAACCAUAAGUAAGGUGAACACUCAACAUUUUAAGAUCUUCAUCUCUCUUACUAGAUGGUUCACCACUGUUUUUAGGAACAAAAACAAACUUGGUGGCCUUAUUGUGAGAAAAAUUUGGAGUGUUCUGAACAACGGCAAAAGCAGAACCCAAGUUGGUUAUAACAUCCUCUAGUUUGCCAAUUCUAGCGGAAUCAUGACCUAGUUUUUCGUUAACUGUGGGUUCCCUCUCCUUUCAAUUUUUCAAAGUCAUUCCCACCUUUGAUCCAUUCUGAGUGAUUUGAUUGUGGAUCUUUUUAUCCAAAUUUUCAAUGAGUUCAAUUGUAGCAACUUUAUUUUCAAUGAUAUCCAGUCUAUGCAUCACAUGUUCCCAAGUUAACGUAGUCCCAUUAACCAUGAGUGGGGAUGAGCCUACCAAAUUUAUUAAGGCACCAUAAGAAUCAACGGUAUGGCUACCCAAGAAAUUUCCACCUACGAUUGUGUCAAGAACAUACCUAUUCCAAGGUGAAAUUCCCACAUAAAAGUUGCGAAGGAGACUGGUAGUAGAUUGCUUACGAGUAGAUCUAUUCUGAGCAUUGCAAAUCCUAUACCAAGCAUCCUUUAAGUUUUCUCCCUCAUUUUGUUUGAAAUUAAGAACUUCGCUCUCGGGAGUAUCGUUCAAAGCGAUAGGACUAGCCAUAAGAAUAGGUAGACUAUCCCACACAAGCAAACAGAAAGCAAGCGAAACAAAAGGGCGAACGAAAAAGGAAAAUAUUUUUGUAAUUUUGUGUUUUCAGAAGUGGGGGAGAGGAAAACGAGAGGAAAAAGGCAAAAAAAGUAAAUGCAAGAGAUGAGUUUGCAAUAGUUACUUGGAUCUGCUUCACUUAGAAUAGUCCCCGGCGCCAGAAAUUGACACGUUGAAGGAAGACUAUUCUUGACUUGAUACUCCCCGGCAACGGCGCGAGAAAUCCUUCUUUCUACCUCUUGAGCUUGCGUUGGUUUUUCCAUUGAAGUGGAAAGGGUGAUGCAACACAGUAGCAGUAAGUAUUUCCCUCAGUUUGAGAACCAAGGUAUCAAUCCAGUAGGAGUAUCAAGACAAGUCACCAAUGUACCUGCGCAAAAACAAACAAACUUGCACCCAACGCUAUAAAGGGGNNNNNNNNNNNNNNNNNNNNNNNNNNNNNNNNNNNNNNNNNNNNNNNNNNNNNNNNNNNNNNNNNNNNNNNNNNNNNNNNNNNNNNNNNNNNNNNNNNNNNNNNNNNNNNNNNNNNNNNNNNNNNNNNNNNNNNNNNNNNNNNNNNNNNNNNNNNNNNNNNNNNNNNNNNNNNNNNNNNNNNNNNNNNNNNNNNNNNNNNNNNNNNNNNNNNNNNNNNNNNNNNNNNNNNNNNNNNNNNNNNNNNNNNNNNNNNNNNNNNNNNNNNNNNNNNNNNNNNNNNNNNNNNNNNNNNNGUGGAAAGUGCAACAAAUUAAAAGUGUAGAGCUGAAAAUAUGGUGUGAAGUAGACCCGGGGGCCAUAGUGUUCACUAGAAGCUUCUCUCAUGAUAGCAAGUAUUACGGUGGUGAACGAAUUACUGUCGAGCAAUUGAUAGAAUCGCGCAAAGUCAUGAUGAUAUCUAAGGCAAUGAUCAUACAUAUAUGCAUCACGUCCGAGACAAGUAGACCGAUACUGUCUGCGUCUACAACAAUUACUCCACACAUCGACCGCUAUCCAGCAUGCAUCUAGUGUAUUAAGUUGAUAACAAAGGAAGUAACGCCUUAAGCAAGAUGACAUGAUUUAGAUGGAUAAAUUCAUGCAAUAGAUAUAAAUACCAUCUUUUUACCCUUGAUGGAAACAACACGAUACAUGCCUCGCUACCCCUUCUGUCACUAGGUGAGGACAGCGCACGGUAUGAACCCAAAACCAAGCACUUCUCCCAUUGCAAGAAUUAUAGAUCAAGUUGGCGAAACAAAACCCACAACUCGAAGAGAAUUACAAGGAUACGAAAUCAUGAAUAUAACAGAUCAGAGGAGACUCAAAUAAUAUUCAUAGAUAAUCUGAUCAUAAAUCCACAAUUCAUCGGAUCUUGACAAACACACCACAAAAGAAGAUUACAUCGGAUAGAUCUCCAUGAAGAUCAUGGAGAACUUUGUAUUGAAGAUCCAAGAGAGAGAAUAAGCCAUCUAGCUACUAGCUAUGGACCCGAAGGUCUGUGGUGAACUACUCACGCAUCAUCGGAGAGGCAAUGGUGUUGAUGGAGAAGCCCUCCGUGUCCGAAUCCCGCCUCCGACAGGGCACCAGAAAGGUCCCCAGAUGGGAUCUUGCGGAGAGAAAAGCUUGCGGCGGCGGAAAAUUAUUUUCGUGGCUCUGUCUGGCGUUUUUAGAUUUUUGGAGAAUUUAUAGGCAGAAGAAGUAGGGCAAAGGACGCACGGGGGGCCCACAAGCCUGCAAGGUGCGCCCCCAAGUCGCGGCUAGGGUGCUUGUGACCUCCCCCGGGGUCCUUUGCCUUGGUUCUCAAGUCCCCUGCGUAUCUUCUGUUAUGGAAAAAAUCAUUCUGCGGGUUUUAUUCCGUUUGGACUCCAUUUAAUAUUCUCCUCUGAAAAAGGUCAAAAACAUGGAAAAAAUAGAAACUGACACUUGGCACUAAGCUAAUAGGUUAGUCCUAGAAAAGAUAUAAAAUAGCAUAUUCAUGCAUACAAAACAUCCAAAGUUGACAAGAUAAUAGCAUGGAACCAUCAAAAAUUAUAGAUACGUUGGAGACGUAUCAACCAUGUUUAGCCAUGGCAGUUUGUCCCAAAGCGCCAGGGCACUUCCCUUGACCAUCCAAGUCCCUCCCCGACACUAUCUUGCCUCCAAACUCUCCCUGGCACGUGUGCUCUCCCAUGGCCAGGCCAUCCGAGGCAGCCGAGCCUCUCAUGUCGCCCCUCCUAUUUAUCCCUCUCCCCCCCGAUCCCCUGCUGCCACAUUCCAUUUCUCUCCCUCCUACUAGCCUCCUAAGACUCCACUCACCUUAUCCCAAGCUCUCUCCUCUUCCCAAGGCCGCUGCAGCGUCACGUCGUCCACGCUCACGUCCGGUCUCCCUUGACCCCCUCCUCUCUCUUCCUCCCCGUGGAGAACCCCGAGCCCUCCACGGACUCCUCCCUCUCCUCUCUCCCUCCUCUUGGUGGCCUGAGUGCCCCAACCGUGGACGACCCCUAUAGUCUUUGCCACAGCCGGGGCCUCUUUCUUCGAUGCCUCCCCAGCGGAGCUAGCGUCCCAUAGCAGUGCGACCGCUCGCCCCGUGGCCGUCGGUGGCCGGGCGGUCGCCGGAAGUGGCCGGAGCCCCGGAAGAAGGCGCCGACCAAGCUGGAUCGAACUCUCGUGCCUCUCCCCAGUGCUGGCGGGAGAUAGGGGGUGAACCUGACGAGUGGGCCACCUGUAAGCCCCCCACUGGCCGGGCCCACCCUGUUAAGUGAAGGUGGCUUCCGCAGGGUGCGCCGCCUCGCACAGGAAAGCAUACUCUCGGGUGUAUGCCUUCGGCGUGGCUACCCUGCUGCGUGCCAAGCCAAGUCGCUCGGCCGGCCCAGUUCUUCCCUAGUGUAGUGAGCGCGUUAUAACCAAUAUGGUAUAACCCCCUUUUCUUAUCCUAUUUCUUCAGAGGCUCUUAAUUUCAUAAACAAUUCAUUUGAGCUCCGAAUAUAAAUAUUCUAGUUUCUGCGAGUUUCUAAAAUCAUGGUCUAUGCAGAUCUGUGCAUUGCACGUUUUUCCAAGGAUAUUUUCUGUAGUAUUAUUAUUAAAAUGCAAAUAUGAGUAUUUGAAACUCCACCUUUGUAAAUUCUUGCAGCACUCAAAUCAGCUCCAGAUGGAGUGAUUCUAAUUUCUAGAGACAUAUUAAAUCAUUCUCUAAUUUCCUAGCCUAGGUGAACUUUUUUAUCGGCAAGGUUUAUGUUGCAUCAAAUAAAUAACCCUUUAUGUUGUUUAUUCCAUAUUAGGAAAUACAUAGGAAAUUCAUACCAACUCCAAUUCUAGUGAAGUCACUCCCUAAAUGUUUCUAAAUUCAUGCUUUAAUAAAUGAGUGCCUCCACUCAUUUUUAGUAGAAUGUUUCUAUAGACUUAUUUUAGGAUCACCUAUUCCUCCUUUAAUCUCUCAUGAUCCAAAUCUCCCAGAACAAGCUUCAGGUAUUUUUCUUAUGACCAGAGAGGUCCAAGAAAAAUAAAAUUUCUAUUCUAGAGCACUUCUGUUUCUGCUUGAUGUGUGGCUUACUGUGGUUGUUUCCAAUGAUAGUUGACGGAAUAGACGGAAUACUCGGAGUUGGACUGGAAGACCUCGAAGACCCCGGAGACCUAUUAGAGGAAGGCAAGCAGCCCUUUCACCAUGUCUGAGAAAAAUGUUUUAUGCAUGGCAUGUUGAAUACUAUUCCGAUGCAUGUAGUCAGGAUUAACCGGUCCACCCCUGUAUGGUGAUAUCGAUGGCUUCACUGGAGCACUUGCAUUUGAGCAUGACCUUACCAUCUAUGAGGAUCACGCUGAUAAAAUGUUGAAUAGUAGAUAAUAGUGCUACGUAUAGGAUGAGCAUAUGCAUGAUGACGGUAAAACAAAGGUGAUUACAAUGACUUUUAGAAAACCCCGUCGGGUGCCACUAAUCCCCAAGGGUGAUGGUGUUGAGAUGGAUGACCACUUGAGAAAGAAGUGGUGUGUCGGAAAGGUUUUGUGUGAGAGGUUGUAGAAAUGGGAUUAGAUUUAAUAUUUGUUGACCGUGCCAACCUUACAUGUGCAACCAUGAUACCCCUUUAUGGGAAGGGGUUGUGCUAGCAAAGAGCCCAAAUUACUCGUGGUGGAGUGAUAUGGUCACUCUCGUUUAGGGGUCGUGCCAGGUAGGAUGACUAUGUCGUUUUUACGUGUUCCGGGCACACCGUUGGUCUCUGCAUGGAUGAUACGGUCUAGGAUUGGUGCUUGUAGACGUACAUCAUGUGGGCUGGGUACCAAUCAAGGGACUCUUUGUCUAGUGUCGCCAGGGGAAAGACAUUGAUCGAGUAAUUAUCUCGGUUAUGUUAUAUACUACGAGUCGUGGAUGACACAUAAGUUUCUCGGUUCUCGUGGGUACAUCGUACAACCUCUGUAGAGUGUAAAAUUAUUCGAAUAGCCGUGUCCAAGGUCAAGGACAGUUGGGUGGUGUUGCUUAGACUACGUCCAGUCGUUUGCGCAUAAACCAAGUGUGUGUGUAUACAGGUGUUACAUGAGAGAGUGGUUACUUGGUCAAGUCUGGUGACUUGACAUGGAGGAUGAACCUGAGGUGUUCAAACCUCAGCAGAUAUGUUGAUAUCUGUAACCUAUUCUUACGGUUACUAUUUACCUAGUGAUGCAUGACCAUAAAAAUACUUGACCAUGUUUAUUCAACAAUAAAACCUGCUUUCAACCAUAUUGCACUCAAUUACAUAAUCCACAUCAUAGGCUGUUUGUGAGUAGAUUCAAAGUACUCAUUGGCUUGCCACUUGUUAUUUCAUUGACCAGGUAAUAGAGAACAUGAGAUGGUGAAGAGUACCAUGGUGACGUUCCUGCGAGCUAGACGCUUCCUAGUCGGAAUGCCUGUAGGUUAAGGCUGAUGGCAUGGGUUCACGCUUUCGACCAAUAAUUCCGCUAUUGGUCAAGUUUGUUGUAUUGGCGUCCAAGUUCCUACCAAUGUAAGACUUGACCACAAGGUCAUUAUUCGUAUCAGACGGUAUGUAUGGAUGUAAGACUCUUGCUAUUUAGUUUCUGUGUGUUCAAUGA
RNAcentral lists this long non-coding RNA (25424 nucleotides) under Hordeum vulgare. RNAcentral's name for it is "long non-coding RNA (HVUL_LNC007550)". The record is from RNAcentral. Lineage: Eukaryota; Viridiplantae; Streptophyta; Magnoliopsida; Poales; Poaceae.